UACGUAGGGAGCAAGCGUUGUCCGGGAUCAUUGGGCGUAAAGCGCGCGUAGGUGGCCAUGUAAGUCCGCUGUGAAAGUCAAAGGCUCAACCUUUGAAAGCCGGUGGAUACUGCAUGGCUAGAGUACGGAAGAGGCGAGUGGAAUUCCUGGUGUAGCGGUGGAAUGCGCGGAUAUCAGGAGGAACACCGGUGGCGAAGGCGGAUCUCUGGGCCAUUACUGACGCUGAGGAGCGAAAGCGUGGGGAGCGAACAGG
This 253-nucleotide ribosomal RNA is filed under the name uncultured bacterium. RNAcentral's name for it is "partial 16S ribosomal RNA". It matches the Rfam family "Bacterial small subunit ribosomal RNA", at positions 524 to 776 of the family's 1533-position model. The record is from RNAcentral.